This 1494-nucleotide ribosomal RNA is filed under the name metagenome. RNAcentral's name for it is "bacterial SSU rRNA". It matches the Rfam family "Bacterial small subunit ribosomal RNA". The record is from RNAcentral.
AGAGUUUGAUCAUGGCUCAGAUUGAACGUUGGCGGCAGGCUUAACACAUGCAAGUCGAACGAGAAAGUACCUUCGGGUAUGAGUACAGUGGCGGACGGGUGAGUAACGCGUAGGAAUCUACCUAGUAGCGGGGGAUAACUUGGGGAAACUCAAGCUAAUACCGCAUACGCUCUACGGAGGAAAGGGGCCCUCUCCUUGGAAGGUCUCACUAUUAGAGGAGCCUGCGUUGGAUUAGCUAGUUGGUGGGGUAAAGGCCCACCAAGGCGACGAUCUAUAGCUGGUCUGAGAGGACGAUCAGCCACACCGGAACUGAGACACGGUCCGGACUCCUACGGGAGGCAGCAGUGGGGAAUCUUGGGCAAUGGGCGAAAGCCUGACCCAGCCAUGCCGCGUGUGUGAAAAGGCCUUAGGGUUGUAAAGCACUUUCAGCAGCGAAGAAAUACGACAGGCUAAUACCCUGUUGUUUUGACGUUAACUGCAGAAGAAGCACCGGCUAACUCCGUGCCAGCAGCCGCGGUAAUACGGAGGGUGCGAACGUUAAUCGGAGUUACUGGGCGUAAAGCGCGCGUAGGCGGAUAGGUAAGUGGGAUGUGAAAGCCCUGGGCUCAACCUGGGAACUGCAUUCCAAACUGCUUACCUAGAGUUUGGUAGAGGGAGGUGGAAUUUCCUGUGUAGCGGUGAAAUGCGUAGAUAUAGGAAGGAACACCAGUGGCGAAGGCGGCCUCCUGGACCAAAACUGACGCUGAGGUGCGAAAGCGUGGGGAGCAGACAGGAUUAGAUACCCUGGUAGUCCACGCCGUAAACGAUGAGAACUAGCCGUUGGGCCCCUUGAGGGUUUAGUGGCGAAGCUAACCGAUAAGUUCUCCGCCUGGGGAGUACGGCCGCAAGGUUAAAACUCAAAUGAAUUGACGGGGGCCCGCACAAGCGGUGGAGCAUGUUGUUUAAUUCGAUGCAACGCGAAGAACCUUACCACCCCUUGACAUCCUGCGAACUUUCUAGAGAUAGAUUGGUGCCUUCGGGAACGCAGUGACAGGUGCUGCAUGGCUGUCGUCAGCUCGUGUCGUGAGAUGUUGGGUUAAGUCCCGUAACGAGCGCAACCCUUGUCCUUAUUUGCCAGCGAGUAAUGUCGGGAACUCUAAGGAGACUGCCGGUGACAAACCGGAGGAAGGUGGGGAUGACGUCAAGUCAUCAUGGCCCUCACGGGGUGGGCUACAAACGUGCUACAAUGGUCGGUACAAAGGGCUGCAAACCAGCGAUGGUAAGCUAAUCCCAAAAAACCGAUCGUAGUCCGGAUAGGAGUCUGCAACUCGACUCCUUGAAGUCGGAAUCGCUAGUAAUCGCGGAUCAGAAUGCCGCGGUGAGUACGUUCCCGGGCCUUGUACACACCGCCCGUCACGUCAUGGGAGUGGAUUGCACCAGAAGUAGCUAGUCUAACCUUCGGGAGGACGGUUACCACGGUGUGGUUCAUGACUGGGACGAAGUCGGAACAAGGUA